UUUAGUUUAUUUUUAGGUGAAGGGAGUUGGAAACAUCACCUCGUAUUUCCAGCCCAGGACCCCAGCCCAUAGGAUGUUGUUGUCAUCGACAUUCAGGGGGACUCUUCCCUUUCCCAGUAAGAAUCUUUCCGAAAGCAUGCUCAUGGACACACCCAGAGAUGUGUUUCCAUGGCGACUACAUCCAGUCAAGCUGAUGAUGAAGAUAAACCAUCACACAGUCUACGGUACCAUGCGCAAUUUGAAGUGCUUCAUGGAGAUCCCCUCACUAACUUCCUGUCUCAACUGUACAAGGAAGAGAAAACCCUGUUACAUAGAGGAUAGAGUGAUUUAUGCAGACAGUUUAAAGGGUGUUUCACAGCUCUGUGGAAUGCAAGAGGCAGCAUGAUUUGAAGGUACAGUAUACUCAAGGGCCAGUGUGGAGUGCACCAAUGUUUUCCUUUCCUACUUUGAAGCAAGUUUCAAUCCAUUUCACUGACGAAACCGGUUAACCAUGUGCAAAUGUGUAGCUGCCGGAGCCGAUCAGCCUUCCCAAGGCUCCAUGGAAGCGGUGACUUCUCUCAGCACUUGGGGUCUGGUGUCGGAAUAAACUGGUCAAUACUGCCUUCUACAGAGCAAAUGUCUUCCUUUAGUUCUCACAUUUAAAGAUAUUGUAUUUUGGAGGGAGGGGAGACCAUGCCUUAAUUUUCCUUCAACUGGAAAUGAUCAUAAUAAAAUAUUUGCAUUGGAAAUCAUUUCUAUUUUAUAGAAAUUAAGUUUUCUCUUUUGGAAAUCACGGGUUUGGGGC
This is a long non-coding RNA of Mus musculus (house mouse), 784 nucleotides long. RefSeq annotates it as predicted gene, 41517. The transcript has 4 exons. NCBI's taxonomy places the organism in Eukaryota, Metazoa, Chordata, Mammalia, Rodentia, Muridae. The record is from RefSeq and is a predicted model, not a curated record.